RNAcentral lists this ribosomal RNA (402 nucleotides) under uncultured Rhizomicrobium sp. RNAcentral describes it as "bacterial SSU rRNA". It matches the Rfam family "Bacterial small subunit ribosomal RNA", at positions 353 to 772 of the family's 1533-position model. Lineage: Bacteria; Pseudomonadati; Pseudomonadota; Alphaproteobacteria; Micropepsales; Micropepsaceae. The record is from RNAcentral.
AGUUGGGAAUCUUGGACAAUGGGGGAAACCCUGAUCCAGCCAUGCCGCGUGAGUGAUGAAGGCCUUCGGGUUGUAAAACUCUUUCGCGCAUGACGAUAAUGACGGUAGUGCGAGAAGAAGCUCCGGCUAACUUCGUGCCAGCAGCCGCGGUAAUACGAAGGGGGCUAGCGUUGUUCGGAAUUACUGGGCGUAAAGCGCGCGCAGGCGGCUAUCCAAGUCAGUGGUGAAAGCCCGGAGCUCAACUCCGGAACUGCCAUUGAAACUGUUUAGCUUGAGUAUGAGAGAGGUGAGUGGAAUUCCCAGUGUAGAGGUGAAAUUCGUAGAUAUUGGGAAGAACACCGGUGGCGAAGGCGGCUCACUGGCUCAUUACUGACGCUCAGGCGCGACAGCGUGGGGAUCAAA